AGCAAGCCGGCGACCUUAAAAGGAAACAGAAUGUAGCCCUCUCUCUCACUACAUUGCUAUUGGGUAUUCAAUAUCAGUCCUGCUGGAUACCCUGAUUGCUGAGAGGGCCUCAGUCAGAACUUUGUAGGCUGACUUCUCCAAGAAGGCACUCUUGGAAACGGUAACGGUGCCUGAAGCCAAUGAAUCAGAGACUGCUCACUUUAUCUUCUCCCGGGAGUCUUCAUCUAAAGAAUGAAGUAACAACCCAAAAGACAAGACUGCAGAGCACUGAGAACUUGCUGGAAUGCUAGCACUCCACAGAUGGCUCUGUUCCAUUCAUUGAGAAGAUAGUUUCUUUAAAUUGUUAUAUCUAUACAUUUCUGUAUCCCACUGUUUUCAAAGAGUCAAGAAUGUAUAAUCCCAAUAAUAAACUUGAAAAUAAAUCUUCUUGGAAGAAAAAAACCUGUUAUUUUUGUUUUAAUUUUUAAUUAGUA
Molecule: long non-coding RNA, 473 nt
Filed under: Homo sapiens (human)
Lineage: Eukaryota; Metazoa; Chordata; Mammalia; Primates; Hominidae
Description: HSALNT0329050
Source: RNAcentral